UUGAAUACAUGUAUGACAUGAUUAAUAAGAAGCUUGAUAGAUGAUGAUUAUGAUGAUGAUGUUUCUAAUAAAUUUCAUCGAUUGUCAAAUUAAUACAAUAUGCUCUAGUUAAGUAUAAUUAAUAAAAUUUAUUAUCAAAAUGUUGGUAGAAGUUUCAAGGGCCAAUGAUAAAAUGGUACAUUUAAAAGUAACAAAUGAUAAAAUUGUUAACAAAUGUUCCUUGAUGAUAAAACAAUACUACCCAUUUAAAUUCCUUAAAAAAAUUACAUGCCAUGCCACUGACAAAAACCGCUACACGUUAACCAGGAUCCAACUGGGUCGCUCACUCUCAACUCGAAUCCAUCUCCCUCACUCUCUCUUUCUCUUUUCUCUGUGAAUCCCUCUCUCUCCGGCGAAUCCGUCGUCCUCCACGAAAUCUGAUUUCUUAGUCCUGGUAAUUUCUAAAUCGUCGUACUUCUGGUAAUUCCUAAAUCUACCGAGAUUGAUGCCUUUACCAAAGCGAGAUUAGAGAGAACAAAUCUAGAUCUAGAAGCACACCACAGAGCUCUCCGCCGUCGUUGUCGACGAUUUCAUCCUCCUUGAUUUGUCUUUUGUCCUUUAACAAAUCUUUUUACGUCAUGGCUUCUCGAAUUAACCACGAUCCUUCUUUUCUACACUCAUUCAUCGGCCCUGACAUCAGAGAGUUCUCGCUGUGGAUCUUCAAAGGCAAGCUGUCCCAUGAGUCAAAGAAGGUGGUCACAAGCAUCCAUCAUCCUUUCUGCUACAUGGCUUGGAAUCUUAUCCUUGCUUUGAUCUACACUGGCCUUUCAAUGGGUCUGGUCAAGUGUAAGUGGGUUAAGCUCUAUUUAAAGGUAUUGGUCUGUUUGUGUUUUGAUGAUUCUCUCCUUGUUUGUUUGUUUACUAGUGUUUGUCUGAUUAUUCUACCUUUGGAUCUCUAAAUCUAUGAGUUAAUAAUUUGGAUCUCAUAAAUAAACUCAAAUAAGGGCUGACCUUCUCAAGUUCUUGAGCAAGGAAUGUGAGGAAAGAGCUGCUACACACUUGAAUUCAUGGGUUUUAUUGUAUUCUAGGUAUGUCAUUUAUGAAAUAGAAUGCAGUGUCAUGAAUCUUUUAUUGAUGAGAUUGUAAAUACAUGUUUGUUUGAGAUGUUUAAUUUGUGCAUGUUAUGUUAUUUGGUAAUUAUGCACACUAGGUGUUUGAGGAAAUGUCUGUGAAUGAAUUUUGGUGUUUUUGCUCAAUGAGAGUGAAGUGGACCUUGAUGUGCUAGCGAGGGCUGACCUUCUCAAGUUCUUGAGCAAGGAAUGUGAGGAAAGAGAUGCUACACACUGCAAACAGAUGCGCAUUAAAGAUGAAACCUUAAGAAAUACGGAAUUCUGUCCAGAUUUUCAGUCAAAUUUGACAGCAAAUUGCGUGCAGCUCAGAGUGAUCCAGGAAACUUGCCUUAUAUCAACGGAAAGGUAGAAGAGUCUAUUUUCCAGAACUUUUCACGGAUCGUUCAUAGCUAUUUUUUAGAGGAAGUUAUGGCUGUCAGAAGGAGGGAAGGUCAUUCUGCCGAAAAUUGGAAAAAGAGAAAAGUCUACCAAGCAAGUGUUCAUAUAACUGGCAAUGUAGCCGUUAAUUGUGUAUGUAACUAUCCAAGUAACUAUUGAAAGCCAUGUAGCAAUGUAGCCGUUAAAUGUGUAUGUAACUAUCCAAGUAACUAUUGAAAGCCAUGUAACUAGUCAUAUAACUAGCAACAUAACUACCAUUUAUG
This 1750-nucleotide long non-coding RNA is filed under the name Fragaria vesca (wild strawberry). Its description in RNAcentral is "long non-coding RNA (FVES_LNC003096)". The record is from RNAcentral. Lineage: Eukaryota; Viridiplantae; Streptophyta; Magnoliopsida; Rosales; Rosaceae.